UACAGAGGUCCCAAGCGUUGUUCGGAUUCACUGGGCGUAAAGGGUGCGUAGGUGGCCGGGAAAGUUCGGUGUGAAAGCUCGGAGCUCAACUCCGAAAUGGCAUUGAAUACUAUCCGGCUGGAGGUUCGGAGGGGAGACUGGAAUUCUCGGUGUAGCAGUGAAAUGCGUAGAUAUCGAGAGGAACACCGGUGGCGAAGGCGAGUCUCUGGACGAAUCCUGACACUGAGGCACGAAAGCUAGGGGAGCAAACAGG
Molecule: ribosomal RNA, 253 nt
Filed under: uncultured bacterium
Lineage: Bacteria
Description: partial 16S ribosomal RNA
Rfam family: Bacterial small subunit ribosomal RNA
Source: RNAcentral